AUUAAAUUGGGUUUACCCGAUUCUAUUGGACUUGUUUGUUUCCUGUUCGGAAAAUUCUAUAUCAAUUCGUCUUCAAGCUUUUGUAAUUAUAUGAUGUCUGCUAACUCCCAACCGUACGCUAUUUUUUAAGAAUUGUUUUGCCCGCUCAAAAUUGUUGGAUUGGCAAAUCAUUACUUUCUUGGGUUAUUUAGUUUCUAUUGGGCUAGUCGUUUAGGGUUUGCAAAAAUUAGGGUUUUCAAUCUAUAACAUGUCUAUAUAUACGCAGUUCCGCAAACUACAAAUAGCCAUUCUUUUCUUCUGCAUAACUCUGUUGCUGGAAGGGGAUAGUAGGAGAAGAUUUAUAAUUACAAAUCAUGUUUCCUAGGGGUAUGUCCAAAAUACAACCUCAAAUAAGAUACAUGAGAAUGAUAGUUACUCUUCGUCCCAUUAUCCCAUUCGAGUGACAAAGUUACUUGGAAGGAUUAGUCAAUGGUGUAAGCCUAAUUUAUGGAGAAGAAGUGGAAUCCAAAGCCGAGUUUCGAAACUAAUAGGGAAGAACAAUUUUCCCGCAGGAAGUAGUAGCUAUUGAUAAACGAUAUUCGACAACACUACUAUAGUGUGAACAUGGAGAAGAUAUUUUUGGAGGUUGUGUGGAUAUAAGACGAGAUACUUGUCAACCGGAUGAAAAAGCGUAAAGGUGAUAUCUUUGUUUAAGGAAUCCGGUUAAGAUCUCCUAUGAUUACAGACAUAUUGAGUUACAAUACAAAACGAGUUAAUACGUAACAAUGUCUGAAACUUUUAACAACAACCUAACUACUUCCAUCCAUAAAUCAUAUCACCAGGAAUUUUUUUUGAAAUAUUUUACCUAACGGGUUAUAAUCGAAUUUGAUCAAUAAAUCUGCUGUAAACCGGAUAAUAGAAGUAACAGUGAAUAGCCCUAGAUAUUUUUCAACGAUGUGUGGAUAUCCGAACUUGGUGCACUGUUAGAGGCAAAUAUUUUGAUUAUUUUAUAAUGUUAAAGAGACAAAUGUGGCAGAAGCCUAGAAGUAGGUAGAUAAAGGGCAAGUAAUUAUAUGAUAUGACUAAUAAACAUAUUUUACAUAAACUUCUAUAUAUCAGCAGAUACAUAUCUGAACAUCGCUAUAAAUACAACUAAAAUCUGGGGACUCUAUUCACUAGGCUCUAAAGUUGAGAGACAAAGAAAAGACACACGGUGACGUCUAAGUUAAAAUUUUCUACUGUGAGAGAAUUAAAUUGCCAGUAAUUAUCAAGGUAAGUUAUUGUCCAACCCCAAUAUUGAAAACAAUUUAUAGCCUCGCUAGUGAAAUAACUGGUUACUGUCAAUUCAUAUAUUGAUGUGAACAGGAAAAGGAAGUUCCUUCUUCAAAUGGGCCAACUAGUUCGUUUAGUAUGCGGCCAAUGGACGAAAAACGAUGAAGGCGAUUGGAUAUUCAAAGAAGAUCCAAACGAAGUGGAACACUUCAUUGUUGCAUGUACAAACCAAAAAUUUGACGCAUUCCUUGCUCUUGUCCGUGAAGAACUUUUACUUCCAUCAACAAAACCGGUGGUGCUGACAUAUAGCUUACCCGACUCUAUGACGGAGAGACGAACCAUCAAAGAACCACCGCAUACAAUUCUCACCGAUGAAAACGUUGAAUUAUUAAUGAGCAUUCAAGAGUGGAAAAACGAAGGUUUCAUGUGUGUCACAGACGGACCACUGGGGGUGGCGAAAUACAAUUUUCUCUGCCGUUCCCCUUUCACUAUUGGCGAUAUCACAUACCUUGCUGAAGGAAUCACCGAGGAAGAGCACUUUUCAGUCAUAAACGAGGAGGUUGGGAUGACGAGAUUAAAUGUAAUGGGAGAGUGCUGCGUGAGCUCUUCACGGAGGAGAAGCUUGCGCUUCUUUACCGUUACUCUUUUGAAAUAGAGAAAGCCAAACAAACGACUCAGGUAAAUGUGAAACAAUCAAAACAUCUGUCAGAGGACCACCUGAGUAAUAUGAUUCGUGGGGUAGAUAUCAGCAAUAAUGAUGGAGAAGAAAUACAUAAAUCAAAAAGGUUCUUCAAUACGGAGAGACAAGGUAAAAGAAGAUAAAUAUAUAUUGAUGAAAGUUAGGAGUUGAAAAAUCUUAUUCUAUUUAUGGACAACCAGAUAUUAAAAUAUUCCAUAAAGAGAGGUCUAUUCCAUAUUUAACCGAGGCUAUGUUUAUAGGUUUCAGAACCAAACCUAUUCCGGCGAAGAGAGGUAAUGUUCAAGAAAGUUCACGGAGGGCAAGCUCUCUGGAACAGUAUAGUGAAGAUGUAAUGUUCUUCAGCCCAACGAUGGGAGAUAUGGUUGGUGACACUGACUAUUGGGAAACAUGUGGGAGUGGAAGCUGUGAUAACAUAAUAAACCUAUCAUCAGAACUACACUUUGAAGAUGAGCAAUCCCCAAUGUCUGAGAACGAAAUAGUUGACAUAGAUGGAUCAUCAACAGGUUAUACGGCCGCGGCUGAAUAUGUUAAUGCCGGUGAAAUACAUAACACUAGUAAGUAGUAGGCUUAAUACAGAACAACCAUAUCCGACAUCGCGCGAAGGGAAUUCAAACGAAGGUUAGUGAAAUUUGUGGUUCAAUACUAAAAUUUUGUACACCCUUGUUUACUGACAUAAAUAUGUGUAAGAUACAUAAAUGAGAACUGGGUAUAUUCCAACUGGGCUGGAGAACAGAGGAACAUUGCGUCGUCGAAAUGAAGAUGUUGGAAACCGAGUCCAGUACAUCAAUAUUGAAUCUGAUGCCGAUCCAUCAGACUCUUACUACGGAAUGAAUGCAGAUGGAGUAGUGGGCGACAGUUUCUUCGAAUCUCGUGACGGCAAGGGUUUGUAUUAGUUUAAGUGAACACUAUUUAGACUAUCAAUCAGGAACAUUAAUGUUUACAAAUAUUGUAAAAUGUAGCAUAAAUAAAUACUUGUUAAGUUAAUGUCGAACAUUUGAAAUCAACCUACUUAAUCGUUCUAUAAUUCCUAACUAUGAUACAUGUUAAACGAAAUGCAGGUUUACAACAACAUAACACUGAUGUAUAUGUUGGAAUGGUUUUUAAAAACAGAAACGAGUUUAAAAAGCAUAUGACAAUAUUUUUCAUCCGGAAUAAAUUUCGAUUUCAAACCACUCGAUCCGCCCCCGGAAGAAUGGUGCUCAGAUGUUUCUGCCAGAAUUGCAAGUGGCGAGUAUAUGCGGUAAUUCUAAAAAACACAGAGUUGUAUGAAGUGAGGAAAGUUGAUUUACAUCAUUCGUGUUCUGUCGAUGGUCGGGCUGGGUACCAAUCACAAGCAACACAUGCAGUAAUUGGUGGGAUGAUGAAAUCAAAGUUUGCAGGCAGAGGCGGAGGUCCCAAACCAACCGAAAUUAUGCAAGCAAUGAGAGGAGAGCACGAUGUUCCUAUUUCAUAUGGGAAAGCAUGGAGAUCAAGAGAAGUGGCGUUAGAUUAUGCAAAGGGUUCGGCCGGAGCUUCAUACAACCUUCUCCCUUCUUACUUAGAGAAGCUAGUCGCGGCAAAUCCUGGUACAAUUGCGGAGGUCCACACUGAAUCCACUGGGGGCAUUGACGACAGGUUCAAGUACAUGUUCUUAGCGUUAGCUGCAAGCAUCGCGGGUUUCAAAUAUAUGCGAAGAGUGAUUGUAGUUGAUGGUACACAUUUGAAGGGCAAAUACGCGGGGUGUUUGUUGACAGCAUCCGCUCAAGAUGGAAACUAUCAAGUGUUUCCAUUGGCUGUUGCGGUGGUAGAUGGGGAAAAUGAUAAAGCGUGGGAAUGGUUUUUUAAUAAGCUGACUCAGUUUAUUCCCAACGAAGAAGAUGUAGUUUUUGUGUCUGAUAGGCAUCCCUCUAUAUACUACGGACUCGCAAAGGUAAGAAUUUAAAGUAUAUGUUCAUUGUAAAUGAAAAUGUGACCAUAGAAGAAUAAUUGUACUUAAAAGCCACUUAUGUCGGACUAUAUUCUUUAUAACCGGAUUUAUAUAUAAAAUAAAGGAUUUUCAAUGACUUGGCAUACAAUUAUGGUUAUCUCUGCGACGGUGAAUUGUAAAUUAGUUAUUUUAGAGACCAAUUUCUUUUGAAAGUGUGUAUAUUCAGCUAAUUAAUCCAAUAUUUAACCCAUCAUUGUUACUUUUAGGUUUACCCGUGCAGUCGACAUUGUGCACGCAUUCUACAUUUGAAAAGAAACAUUCAAACCUAUUUCAAGGAUAAACACUUGGGUUUCCUCGUUGGGAAAGCUGCAAGGGCGUUUCGAGUGUGUGAAUUCUACUCUGCCUUCAAUGAGAUAGAACGAGUUAACGCCUCAUGUGCAGAAUAUCUGACGGGAAUAGGCUUCGAUCACUGGGCAAGAGCACACUUCAAAGGAGAUUGUUACACAUCAUGACAAGUAAUGUGGCGGAAACAUGGAAUGCAGUGUUGCGUGAAGCAAGGGAGUAUCCUAUCCUUCCACUCAUCGAAUACAUACGCUCGAAGGUUAUGACCUGGUUUUCUAUGAGAAGGCAACUACAAUGUAAAGGAGAUAACCAUCUCACCCCCCGAGUUUCGGAAAUUGUGCAAGCUAACUUUGAGAACUGUGGAAUGUAUGAAGUUAGCGUAAUUGCACGUGAUCAGUAUGAAGUGAAAUACAAACUGGGUUACAUAUUUCAUGUUAACCUAGCUUCACACACGUGUACUUGCAAUGAAUUUCAGUCACUGAAAAUUCCAUGCACGCAUGCGGUCGCAGCUGCAAUAAGGUACAAAGUAAGAGUCGAAAGUUUGGUUUCUGAAUGUUAUACAUUAACAACAUAUAGGGCUGCUUAUGCGGCUAUCAUAGCCCCAGCAGUGGAACACGAAAGUGUGCAAAUCCUAUCGAGUGAAGGCUCGUGUAGCCAAGUUAGCGUAAAUCCACCAGCAACCAUGAGGCCACCUGGAAGACGGAGGAAAAACCGAAUUUUAUCAAGAGGAGAAUUCCAGGUAAAUAUACUCGUCAUAGAAGGUUAAAUAACAGUAAUUUUUUUAAAUAAUAUUUGUAUACUAUGCAGAGGAGGGGAGCAAGGAAACGAACAUUGUGCAGUCGAUGCAAAUGCGCAGGGCAUAACCGAGCAACUUGCAAAACGACGAUAUGAAGUAGUAAAGUAUAUGAAGUUUGGAAAGAGUCAACCUCGGAUGAUGAAGGUGUAUGCAGGUUUGGAGAGAUGUCAAAUAAGAAAUAGUGUAAAAUAAGUUUAUGUAAAUUUAAUGAUAUGGGGAGGGGCCAGAUUAUCUUAAUUCCCGAGGGACUGUAAUAUAAAUAAACUCUUUCAGUUGAAAAAAAUGUGUCGGCGUUAAUACAUUAACAUAAUCACUUCGGUUCGCAGACAUAGCAUAAGUAAUAAUAAUACAAAGACUUGUGAUAUGAGGAUGCCGGGCUUAUAGAGCAAACAAGAUUCACCAAAGAACAAAAGGAAGAAAGAAGAACAACACUUUUCAAAUCUUUGAAAACAUGAAGGCAGAGACUGAAACCUAAAGUAAAUGGUCUUCAUGAUCCAAAGCUCAACCCAUUUGAAAGACACCUCCUAGUUCGGUUUUUCGGUUUCCUACAGGCUCAUGUAC
Long non-coding RNA from Brassica napus (rape), 5556 nucleotides. RefSeq lists it as uncharacterized. Lineage: Eukaryota; Viridiplantae; Streptophyta; Magnoliopsida; Brassicales; Brassicaceae. The record is from RefSeq and is a predicted model, not a curated record. The transcript is spliced from 3 exons.